AUUGAACGCUGGCGGCAGGCUUAACACAUGCAAGUCGAACGAGUGGCGGACGGGUGAGUAAUGUCUGGGAAUCUAGCUUAUGGAGGGGGAUAACUACGGGAAACUGUAGCUAAUACCGCAUACUAUAGGAUGAGCCCAUGUGGGAUUAGGUAGUUGGUGGGUUAAAGGCUCACCUAGCCGACGAUCUCUAGCUGGUCUGAGAGGAUGACCAGCCACACUGGGACUGAGACACGGCCCAGACUCCGACGGGAGGCAGCAGUGGGGAAUAUUGCACAAUGGGCGCAAGCCUGAUGCAGCCAUGCCGCGUGUAUGAAGAAGGCCUUAGGGUUGUAAAGUACUUUCAGCGGGGAGGCGUUACCCGCAGAAGAAGCACCGGCUAACUCCGUGCCAGCCGCCGCGGUAAUAC
RNAcentral lists this ribosomal RNA (406 nucleotides) under uncultured bacterium. RNAcentral's name for it is "partial 16S ribosomal RNA". It matches the Rfam family "Bacterial small subunit ribosomal RNA", at positions 30 to 526 of the family's 1533-position model. The record is from RNAcentral.